This 644-nucleotide ribosomal RNA is filed under the name Acarospora praeruptorum. RNAcentral's name for it is "SSU rRNA". It matches the Rfam family "Bacterial small subunit ribosomal RNA", at positions 377 to 1113 of the family's 1533-position model. Lineage: Eukaryota; Fungi; Ascomycota; Lecanoromycetes; Acarosporales; Acarosporaceae. The record is from RNAcentral.
GAAAGCUAGUUGUAUUAUUAGUUAAUGCAAGAUCGACUAGUCGACAAAGUUCUAGGUAGAAUAAUGAUGAUGACAAUUUUUUACUAUAUGUCUUGACCAAGUCUCGUGCCAGCAGUCGCGGUAAUACGUGGAAGACUAGUGUUAUUCAUCUUUAUUAGGUUUAAAGGGUACCUAGACGGUAUUUCUAGCCCAAAAUAGGGUACGGAUUUACUAGAGUUUUAUGUGAGGAGGGGAGUACUCGUAGAGUAGAGAUGAAAUUUUGUUAUACUAUGAGGUAACUGGUGGCGGCGAAAGCAACCUUCUAUGUAUAAACUGACGUUGAGGGACGAAGGCUUGGGUAGCAAAUAGGAUUAGAUACCCUAGUAGUCCAAGCAGACAAUUCUGAAUGCCAUAGAUUAGAUUAUUUUUGGUCUAUAAAUGAAAGUGUAAGCAUUCCACCUUAGGAGUAAUGUGGCAACACAGGAACUGAAAUCAUUAGACCGUUUCUGAAACCAGUAGUGAAGUAUGUUAUUUAAAUUGAUGGUCCACAAAAAACCUUACCACAACUUGAAUAUUUUUAAUUAAUACAAGCGUUGCACGGCUGUCUUCAGUUAAUGUCGUGAGAUUUUGGUUAACUCCAUUAAUUAACGUAAAACCCUUACUUU